CGUUUUGUCUCAUUUUGUUGAUUCUAUUUUUGAUCUUAAUGAAAUCACACGAGUCUUUUUUUGUUAAACACGUCAGAAAUGUGAAUGCAAAUGCCUUGUCGUUGAGUUCAGUAUGCACAGUUGCAUGUGAUUGAUUUUUCAAUUAAUAGACAAACGUUAUCAAGUGGCCUGUAAACAUCUCAUUCAGAAAGGGCGCUCGUGAUUUGUGAUAACAUAAAAUCUAGUCAAUACACUGAUGACAGCAUUAUUUUGAAAAAAAAAAAAAAAACUUAUAAAAAAAACCGAUGUUUCCGCUCGGAAGUAAUCGGAAGUAACGAAGUAAUUUGUUGCUGGUACAAAGAGCGAUUGAUAUUCGAUUUUCAAAGCAUACAGACGAGCGUAUCGUGCAAGUUGACACGUAUCAAAACGACGACGCACUGGCAAACAGAAUUAUUAAGUACUAACAAAGGUGUUUGUUAUUAUUGAUUUUUGACGCUUAAUUUUCCUGGCACAGCAACUCUGGGCAUGCAAUACAAUGAAAUUCCUUUGCUUUCUCGCAGCCGGUCUUCUAUGCAUGCACUAUAUUUUAUUCUGGGUCAUGUGUGAUUGCUGUUAUGGUUAUAAGCCAUAAUAAAAUAUUGACAAGAAUAAUUUGUGAUUGGAGAUAUCUUUGGGACAAUAAAAUGUGCAUAAAACCGGCAAUUUUAAGAAGAAAUAAAUUGAUUUUGUUAGAAUGAAAAAAAUUUAAAAA
This is a long non-coding RNA of Contarinia nasturtii (swede midge), 730 nucleotides long. RefSeq lists it as uncharacterized. The record is from RefSeq and is a predicted model, not a curated record. Lineage: Eukaryota; Metazoa; Arthropoda; Insecta; Diptera; Cecidomyiidae. The transcript has 2 exons.